UAUGUUUGGUGUGAGAGUGAGAUUGAAUGUGAUGUGUGGAGAGAUGUGUGCUUGAAUGUUUGUAUAAUUCUUAAAAAUCUACACCGUGAUCUUAUUUGAUCCAAUCGGAAUUCUGCCCUCGUCCGAUUCGGAAAUGAUAAAAUCCGAUAUGCGAGCCAGCUUGGCGAUGUGCAUGAGGCAUCUCACAAACUUUGGGGCAUACACAAGAAAUUGUGGUUUGAAGUGAUGAAUUGAUCAGAUAUACUAGUUCGGACGAGGCGUUGGGUUUUAACCCUUGCUUUCGCCCGGACAAUGAGUAUAGAGGCGAUUCUGAUCCUA
Molecule: non-coding RNA, 318 nt
Organism: Alosa alosa (allis shad)
Lineage: Eukaryota; Metazoa; Chordata; Actinopteri; Clupeiformes; Clupeidae
Product: small Cajal body-specific RNA 2
Exons: 1
Source: RefSeq, a predicted model, not a curated record